This 30-nucleotide non-coding RNA is filed under the name Homo sapiens (human). The record is from RNAcentral. Lineage: Eukaryota; Metazoa; Chordata; Mammalia; Primates; Hominidae.
UUGGAUAUGGACCUUCUUCAAUUCCUGGCC